GUAGGUGAACCUGCGGAAGGAUCAUUAUCGUAGGGCUCCCGCCCUGUCGAGAUAGCGUCCUUGCCUAUUUUUUGGAGCACCGUUCGUUUCCUCGGCAGGCUUGCCUGCCACUGGGGACCCCACAAACCCUUUGUAAAUACAGCAAUCGUCUGAAAAACAAACAAAAAAUCAAAACUUUCAACAAUGGAUCUCUUGGUUCUGGCAUCGAUGAAGAACGCAGCAUCUGACUGACUAAGAUUCGGCGCAUCUC
This 250-nucleotide unclassified non-coding RNA is filed under the name plant metagenome. Its description in RNAcentral is "partial contains small subunit ribosomal RNA, internal transcribed spacer 1, and 5.8S ribosomal RNA". The stretch from base 173 to 241 matches the Rfam family "5.8S ribosomal RNA". The record is from RNAcentral.